UAAACGGACCAUCGAGUAUCCAUUGGAGGGCAAGUCUGGUGCCAGCAGCUGCGGUAAUACCAGCUCCAAUAGCGUAUAUUAAAGUUGUUGCAGUUAAAAAGCUCGUAGUUGGACUUGUGUGCGCUGUCCGCGGGUGGCCUGCGCCCAAAAGGGCGUUUCGGUUCGGCCCCGGUGGCGCCUUGAAAUCUGCAGCUGGGGGGACGUUGGCCUUAACUGGUCGGCGACCGCACGCCGGCUGCUCGGUUACUGUGAGAAAAUUAGAGUGUUCAAGGCAGGCAUUGGGUGCAAUUGAAUACAUUAGCAUGGAAUAAUAAAAUAUGGCUCCUGCCGUAUUUUGUUGGUUUUGACUGGUGGGAGUAAUGAUUGAUAGGGACGGUUGGGGGUGCUAGUAUUGAGCGGCCAGAGGUGAAAUUCAUGGAUUCGCUCAAGACUAACUUAUGCGAAAGCAUUCACCAAGGACGUCCUCUUUAAUCAAGAACGAAAGUUGGGGGAUCGAAGACGAUCAGAUACCGUCGUAGUCUCAACCAUAAACUAUGUCGACUUGGGAUCGGCGGUAGUUUUUUCAUUAAGACACUGUCGGGACCACGGGAGAAAUCAAAGUGUCUGGACUCUGGGGGAAGUAUGGUCGCAAGGCUGAAACUUGAAGGAAUUGACGGAAGGGCACCACCAGGAGUGGAGCCUGCGGCUUAAUUUGACUCAACACGGGGAAACUUACCAGGUCCAGAGAUGUAGAGGAUUGACAGAUUGAAGCUCUUUCUUGAUCACUUCGAUGGUGGUGCAUGGCCGUUCUUAGUUGGUGGAGUGAUUUGUCUGGUUAAUUCCGUUAACGAUCGAGACCUCAGCCUGCUAGUGUAGUCGGCUGGAUUGCCUUUAGCGAUCCGUGAUUUCGACUUCUUAGAGGGACAAUCGACGCGCAGUCGAUGGAAGUUUGAGGCAAUAACAGGUCUGUGAUGCCCUUAGAUGUUCUGGGCCGCACGCGCGCUACACUGCUGGGCUCAGCGAGUUUUACUUGGCCGAGAGGCCCGGUUAAUCUUGUGAAAUCCCAGCGUGCUUGGGCUCGCCUCCUGCAACUGGAGGCGCCAACGAGGAAUUCCUAGUAGACGCAGGUCAUCAACCUGCAUCGAUUACGUCCCUGCCCUUUGUACACACCGCCCGUCGUUCCAUAAGAGUGAGGCAUCCGGUGAAUUCUCGGGAGAGCCUGGGCGUGGCCAGCAAUGGUCUGCUCGGGUUUGAACUUGCAUAAACUUGGUGCCUAUGAUUAGGG
Molecule: ribosomal RNA, 1264 nt
Filed under: metagenome
Description: SSU rRNA
Rfam family: Eukaryotic small subunit ribosomal RNA
Source: RNAcentral